GUGUCAGCCGCCGCGGUAAUACAGAGGUCCCAAGCGUUGUUCGGAUUCACUGGGCGUAAAGGGUGCGCAGGUGGGUUUGCAAGUUUGAUGUGAAAGCCCCGGGCUUAACCCGGGAAUGGCAUUGAAUACUGCAGAUCUGGAGGAUUGGAGGGGGGACUGGAAUUCUUGGUGUAGCAGUGAAAUGCGUAGAUAUCAAGAGGAACACCAGUGGCGAAGGCGAGUCCCUGGACAAUUCCUGACACUGAGGCACGAAAGCUAGGGGAGCAAACAGGAUUAGAAACCCCUGUAGUCC
Molecule: ribosomal RNA, 292 nt
Filed under: uncultured bacterium
Lineage: Bacteria
Description: partial 16S ribosomal RNA
Rfam family: Bacterial small subunit ribosomal RNA
Source: RNAcentral